This 104-nucleotide ribosomal RNA is filed under the name uncultured bacterium. Its description in RNAcentral is "partial 16S ribosomal RNA". It matches the Rfam family "Bacterial small subunit ribosomal RNA", at positions 1379 to 1482 of the family's 1533-position model. The record is from RNAcentral.
CCUUGUACACACCGCCCGUCACACCAUGGGAGUGGGUUGCUCCAGAAGGCGUUAGUCUAACCGCAAGGGGGACGACACCCACGGAGUGGUCCAUGACUGGGGUG